Molecule: long non-coding RNA, 677 nt
Filed under: Phoenix dactylifera (date palm)
Lineage: Eukaryota; Viridiplantae; Streptophyta; Magnoliopsida; Arecales; Arecaceae
Description: long non-coding RNA (PDAC_LNC016473)
Source: RNAcentral
UACAACCUCCGACCCCGGACAGCCGAAGUCAGCGUCCGACCUCGGAACGCUCGGCCACAAGACGACCGACCCCGAAACCUCCGACCUAAGAGAAACCCCGAUGUCCGAGGACCGUACUCUAACACCCCUCCGGCAUUUAUUGCGCAUGGCCGCUGUAAUCUUCCGGCACACUCAACAAUAAAUGCGGAUCUCCGGCUUACUCCAUAAUAAAUGCGGAUCUCCGGCUUACUCCACCAAUAAUACGGAUCUCCGGCUUACUCCAUAAUAAAUGCGGAUCUCCGACUUACUCCACAAUAAAUGCGCAUGGCUCCUGACAUCUACGGAUCCCCAGCUCUCCAUGGCAAAUCGACCCAGCAGGGUCUAGUCGACUAUGAUAAGUCUCUGAUCUCGGCCAUACCGCCGACAUCAGUGCAAUGAUUCGCCUGACCGAGCGCCGACCUGAACAACAUGCCAAGCCGUACUACGGCCUCGCCCUGUUACAUCACAGGUAAACCGACCCCCGCAUAUAAAAGGGAUCCUUGGCCUCCCAAGAGGGGAUUGGAACAUUCAUACACCCAAAAAUCACUGUUUAUCUCCUUCUCCCCACUAUUUGCCCCCUCCCUGACUUGAGCGUCGGAGGGCCGGCGCCGGAGAACCCGGCCACCGGUUCGUGUGCAGGCACCCGGACGGAGGACGCC